Stomoxys calcitrans (stable fly) is the source of this 875-nucleotide long non-coding RNA. RefSeq lists it as uncharacterized. NCBI's taxonomy places the organism in Eukaryota, Metazoa, Arthropoda, Insecta, Diptera, Muscidae. The record is from RefSeq and is a predicted model, not a curated record. The transcript has 2 exons.
CAAUAACUAAAUACUCAACACAAAAAAAAAAUAAAGAACAAUACUGGUUAAUUAGAAACUUUUCGGCUCACUCAUUAUAAGGCGAGACAAAAACGAUAACCUUUAUCCCUUGGCCUAAGACGCUGCCCAAUUGGCGCGAAUUAACAACUUGACCUAUCUCCUAAAAGAGCUCUCUUAAAAGACCUUUUCUGCCCUUAGUUUGCUGCAGAAUCAAAUUACAACCAAAAGACCGGGAAUUUGGUAAUCCUCCUGGCUACCUUAAGCCUUAUUAUACGCAAAUCCAAGUAUUAUUCUCUUCACACUUCUUUUUUUUUUAUCGUUACGCUAUUUCCCAUACAUAUUUAACACUAGAUAUCAAUUAUUUGUUUGUUUUAUGAUGAAAACUAAUCGAAUUUUUUUAUUUUUUUUUUGUUACCUCUCUUUUAGGUUUUUGGACGGCUGCCAGACAAUAUUAAAAUCUCGCUUAUGGGGACUUCACAGAUAUAGGACACAGACAUAAAUUGGGCUGUUUAUAUAUGGAUGAUCGCAGACAAAAUCACACGGCUGCAGCACCUGGGUCAGGCCUCUUCAGCUCGAAGCUUACACAGCACCACCCUCUCAAGCUGAGAAAUUUCGCAGCCGCCAGCAAUCAGGCACAGUAAGCUCGGAAAAUUGGGGCUCACUGGAGAACUUUUCCACCAAUAAAAAUUUCGCACUGGCCCCCUUAUGCGUAGGUUGGCCAGUGCUUAUCGCCACUACAGGAAUCAAUUUCUAUUACACAGAAGAAAUAACAAAAAUCACCAGUCUACUUCAGAUUUUACAUGACAUCGCCACUCACAUUCAAAUGUAUUUACAGCAAAACACGAUCAAAAUAAAGUUGUUAAUGAUGUUCAAUA